CCAAUGUAAAUUAACAGAACAUCAUCAUAAAUAUCAUCAACAACUGAAUAAUUUCCAAUCAAACUCUGAUAAUAAUCUAUUCAUAAAUCAUGAUCCUUCAUUUCAUAAAUCACAGUUCAGGAAAUCCUCAACUAUUCAGUAUCCUCCAUUAUCGGCUAAGCAACUGAAUUUAGCCUGCUAAACCAGCAUGACAAUGGCGGGUUGAAUAAUCAAGAAGAUCCCUAUUCAUUCUAAGUUCUAACUAUCACCAACACAUGCUUCAAUGACAAUCUGAACUUCGAAUUAAUUUGUAAAACGGAAAUUCUUUAGAAACUUGAAGAUUAGAAAGAAUGGGUCAGAAUACUCGCACUUUCGAACAUUGAAAAGAAAGGUAUGAAUACUUGAAACAUAUACCAAAGGAAUGGAUCAGAAUAUUUGCAAUAUAUCCAAGAGAAAGGGUUUAGGAUACUUGCAACACAUAUAAAAAGAAUGGAUCAGAAUAUGCAAUAUAUCCAAAAGCAGGGUGCAGGAUACUUGCCUUAAAUCUGACUCCAGUCUCACAUCUCAAUCUCAUCUUUCCACUUUCACAAUCUAUGCAUCUCAUAGUCUCUAGACCAUCUCUGGCUAUACUCUUUCUACCGUACAUCUUCGCUUCGCUUACUCGAUUCAUCCCUUAUUCGCUUUGCAAUACCAUUUC
Molecule: long non-coding RNA, 676 nt
Filed under: Daucus carota (carrot)
Lineage: Eukaryota; Viridiplantae; Streptophyta; Magnoliopsida; Apiales; Apiaceae
Description: long non-coding RNA (DCAR_LNC007523)
Source: RNAcentral